Molecule: unclassified non-coding RNA, 336 nt
Filed under: soil metagenome
Description: partial contains 5.8S ribosomal RNA, internal transcribed spacer 2, and large subunit ribosomal RNA
Rfam family: 5.8S ribosomal RNA (bases 3-120)
Source: RNAcentral
GCUGAAGAACGUAGCGAAAUGCGAUAAGUAGUGUGAAUUGCAGAAUUCAGUGAAUCAUCGAAUCUUUGAACGCACAUUGCGCCCCUUGGUAUUCCAUGGGGCAUGCCUGUUCGAGCGUCAUUUGUACCUUCAAGCUUUGCUUGGUGUUGGGUGUUUGUCUCGCCUUUGCGUGUAGACUCGCCUUAAAAUAAUUGGCAGCCGGCGUAUUGAUUUCGGAGCGCAGUACAUCUCGCGCUUUGCACUCAUAACGACAGCGUCCAAAAGUACAUUUUACACUCUUGACCUCGGAUCAGGUAGGGAUACCCGCUGAACUUAAGCAUAUCAAUAAGCGGAGGA